This is a long non-coding RNA of Oncorhynchus kisutch (coho salmon), 2199 nucleotides long. NCBI's taxonomy places the organism in Eukaryota, Metazoa, Chordata, Actinopteri, Salmoniformes, Salmonidae. The record is from Ensembl.
UUUUUUUUAAUCAUGUAAAAAGAGAAACACUGGCAAAUACUUUGGACACUAGUAUGCUUCAGAGCCAGAGUUUGUCUAAAGGCCAGUUUAUACUUGGUCUAACGACAUGUCUGUGUGUAGACGAUUAGAAUGCGACGAAUGUCGCUGGUCAAAAUUACUUUUAAUUUAUACUCCGGUGAAAUGUCUGUAGACCGUCGCUGCGACUGUUAGUUUCCUUGACGCACAGACACGAACAAAUGUAUCUGCGACUGUCGCAACGUCCGUUGUCGUGGUUACCGGACUGCCACAGCAACCAGACCAAAUCAAAUCCAAUGUUAUUUGUCACAUGCGCCGAAUACAGGUGUAGACCUUACAGUGAAAUGCUUACUUACAAGACCUUAACCAAACAUGCAGUUUUAAGAAAAAUCCCUACAAAAAUAAAAGUAACAAAUAAUUAAAUAGCAGCAAUAAAAUAACAUUAGCGAGGUUAUAUACAGGGGGUACCGGUGCAGGGGCACCGGUUAGUCCACGUAAUUGAGGUAAUAUGUUCAUGUAGGUCGAGUUCUCCUGUCACAAGAUGCGAGAGUUCUAAAAUGCUCCUAUAGAAUGACCUACUUUUAUUUCGUUACACUGUGGCAGUAAGCUAUUUUCUGUUAGUUCGCCAUUAGUUUGUAAAUAAUUAUGUUGUCUUGGAUUUAUUUUCCUGUAAUAAUGACUAAAAAAAGGGCUAAAGGAAAGACUGUCAGCUAUACUCUGCCUUUGCCAUCCUCUGUGCGGGCCUUUGUACACACCAGUGAGCUGCUUCAACCACACCCUGGUCCAAGCAGGCUCUAGGUCCCAGCCUUCAGCCUCAGCCCCAGACCUCCAGCCAGCUACAAGGCCUGGUCAGGGAGCCAAACCUCCAGCCCCAGACGUCCAGCAAGCUGCAAGGCCUGGUCAGGGAGCCAAACCUCUAGGCCCAGACAUCCAGCCAGCUGCAAGGCCUGGUCAGGGAGCCAAACCUCUAGGCCCAGACAUCCAACCAGCUGCAAGGCCUGGUCAGGGAGCCAUUCCCCCAGGUCCCAGCCCCAGACGUCCAGCAAGCUGCAAGGCCUGGUCAGGGAGCCAAACCUCCAGGCCCAGACGUCCAGCCAGCUGCAAGACCUGGUCAGGGAGCCAAACUUCCAGGCUCAGACGUCCAGCCAGCUGCAAGGCCUGGUCAGGGAGCCAAACAUCUAGGCCCCAGCCCCAGAUGUCCAGCCAGCUGAAAUGCCUGGUCAGGGAGCCAAACCUCCAGGCCCCAGCCCCAGAGCUGAGCAGAGAAUCAGGUUAGAGGUAGAGAUGGAGGGAAUCCAGCCUGUCAGUUUGUGUUGAGAUGAUAUUGGUAAACAAUAAACAGUGGGAUGGGACUGAUACACACACACAGAGAGAGAGAGAUGGAAGGAGAUGUGGAUGUGUAGACAAUAAGUUGAUUAUGGAGGAGACAUGGAGUUGGCGAGACAUGUUGUUGAUAUGGGGUGGUUGAAUAGUUUUGACCCAGUACUGGACUUGACAAGAGUUACAGAUGACUCCCAUAGUAUGGAGCUCCCAUACAGCCAACUGUCAUGGUGAUGACAACUGGUUAAAUGGGCUGCCACAGGCUUCAUCAAGUUUCCUACAGAACCUAGAUUGGAAUCAGAGAAGCACAUGGACAGAGGAAUAAACCCUCACACAACACUUCUCAAAUACAAAUGCACCAGUUGCCUCCUUCAUGGCCCCAUAAUAUGGACUCAAAAUCAAAUUCUUAAUCAACUUAUUUUUAACCAUUGCACAUUGCUAUUGUUUUAUUCAUUACUGGUUUAAUAUAUUUAACUGUGGGUCUGGCGGCUUCACUGUCUCUCAUCUCAGCCUUGUCCCAGAGUGGAGCUCACAUCUGGUCGCAAUCAGGAGAGAGAGAGAGAGAGAGAGAGGAGAGAGAGAGAGAGAGAGAGAGAGAGAGAGAGAGAGAGAGAGAGAGAGAGAGAGAGAGAGAGAGAAUGCAUGCCCAUUAGUAGUCCAUGAUUUGGCAGUAGUCUCCACGUACAGCGGUACACCAUCCAUCUCUCCACUGGAGUUAUACAGAACAUAGCCUCCUAGAAGGCCUUUACUCCAACCCAUUCUUCCCACCCUUAUUACCUGAUUUAAUUAGAUUCUAAACGAGGGGAACAGAAUGAACAGGAGUCAUGGAUUUGGGUUAUUGGCAGCCUCGGGGAUAAGGAGACC